AGAGCGAACGCUGGCGGCAGGCUUAACACAUGCAAGUCGAGCGGGCGUAGCAAGUACGUCAGCGGCAGACGGGUGAGUAACGCGUGGGAACAUACCUUUUGGUUCGGAACAACACAGGGAAACUUGUGCUAAUACCGGAUAAGCCCUUACGGGGAAAGAUUUAUCGCCGAAAGAUUGGCCCGCGUCUGAUUAGCUAGUUGGUGAGGUAACGGCUCACCAAGGCGACGAUCAGUAGCUGGUCUGAGAGGAUGAUCAGCCACAUUGGGACUGAGACACGGCCCAAACUCCUACGGGAGGCAGCAGUGGGAAUAUUGGACAAUGGGCGCAAGCCUGAUCCAGCCAUGCCGCGUGAGUGAUGAAGGCCCUAGGGUUGUAAAGGCUCGUUUUGUGCGGGAAGAUAAUGACGGUACCGCAAGAAUAAGCCCGGCUAACUUCGUGCCAGCAGCCGC
This 449-nucleotide ribosomal RNA is filed under the name uncultured bacterium. RNAcentral describes it as "SSU rRNA". It matches the Rfam family "Bacterial small subunit ribosomal RNA", at positions 26 to 518 of the family's 1533-position model. The record is from RNAcentral.